GCAGAGGCCAAGGACGGCUGCAGCCCCAGGAUACAUGGCUAUGAAAGACAUUCAUCAUACUGUGGGCUAGCCUGAACCAGCCACUCUGGAGAGACCACUUGUCAAGGCACAAUGGAUACGAACUGAAUCUCAACAACCAGCAUCAACCAUCAAAAGAUAUGCAAGUAAAUGACCCUUCAAAAGAGGCCCUAGUCUUUGGGUCUCACAGUUGAGGCCAUAGACAUAAUGGAGCAGGGACAAACUAUCUCUGCAAUGCCCCAUCUGAAAUCUUGACCACAGAAUCCA
This 285-nucleotide long non-coding RNA is filed under the name Homo sapiens (human). RNAcentral describes it as "HSALNT0076618". Lineage: Eukaryota; Metazoa; Chordata; Mammalia; Primates; Hominidae. The record is from RNAcentral.